AUCCAGCUGACGAGUCUCGUGCAGGACGAAACGUGCGUCAAACUGGAU
Molecule: non-coding RNA, 48 nt
Filed under: Schistosoma mansoni
Lineage: Eukaryota; Metazoa; Platyhelminthes; Trematoda; Strigeidida; Schistosomatidae
Source: RNAcentral